CUGAGGCUGAGUAGCUGGGACGAGGCGUGGAUGGACACUUUAACUUAUCAAGAAAUUGUCUUUGCAUACUUAAAGUCCUUCAUCUGAUGAUGCUGAAAAAUCUUAGUCCAUAUUUUUGCAUAGAAUUGGAGGAACAAAAUUUAUCUUUGGAAAUCUUCUCUAUGGCUCCCUGGAUACAUAAUGAAAUCCUGUUGAAGAACCUCUUGAUCUACACUGAACUCCAAGGAGGUUGGGGAGUGCAAUUGCACAAUGUCAAUCUCAUUAUAUAAAAAAGAAAAUGAAAGCUCAGAGAAAUGACACAAUCUGCUGCGGCCCCUAGGCAAGAAGAGACCAGGAUUCAAGCCCCUCCUCACAGUCAACCCAGGACCUUCCUCCCAUAAAUAAUACAGACAUGAACGCCGACAAGGCUGUGGUCUGUUUCCUCACUCAUCUUCUAGUGGAUAGAGAGGAGUAAGAGAAGUUCAGUGGUGUGAAGCAGUGGACAGGAAGAGACCACUGAGUACCACAGGUGACCACCAUAACCAAUCUGCAGAAGACAGAGGCAUCUUCUGGGGAUUUCAACAACACUUGGGGAGAUGACCCUGGCAUAUGACCAAAUACCUUGUGGUCAAGCAAGAUAAAAUUUGAAUAUCAAAAUCAAAUGUCACCUCUGCUUUUUGGCAGGUUUUUAUUAGUAUAUUAAUAGAGGACAUGUAUGUUUAAUCUUGGCAGAUUUAAUUUAUUAUUGAGGAUAUUGAUGAGGUGGGGCGUUUAUUUUUAUAGUUAUACUAACAUAGAGACUAUAAUGUAAUAAUAUGUAAAAGAUAACAGAAAAGGUAAUAAUACUACAAUGUAACAAUAUAAUGUAGUAUCUAUUAAAAUAGGUAUCAUUAACUAUAUAUGUGUGGUUGUAGAUAUAUAUA
This is a long non-coding RNA of Dipodomys ordii (Ord's kangaroo rat), 902 nucleotides long. RefSeq lists it as uncharacterized. The transcript has 3 exons. The record is from RefSeq and is a predicted model, not a curated record. NCBI's taxonomy places the organism in Eukaryota, Metazoa, Chordata, Mammalia, Rodentia, Heteromyidae.